RNAcentral lists this ribosomal RNA (379 nucleotides) under uncultured eukaryote. Its description in RNAcentral is "SSU rRNA". It matches the Rfam family "Eukaryotic small subunit ribosomal RNA", at positions 587 to 972 of the family's 1831-position model. The record is from RNAcentral.
AGCUCCAAUAGCGUAUAUUAAAGUUGUUGCAGUUAAAAAGCUCGUAGUUGGAUUUCUGUCGGAGACAGCCGGUCCACCUUUCUGGUGUGUACUGUGUUCGUCUUCUACAUUUGACAGGAGGAGUUCUCACACUUAACUGUGUGGGUACGAAACCUGUCCUUUUACUUUGAGAAAAUUAGAGUGUUCCAAGCAGGCUUCGCCGUGAAUACAUUAGCAUGGAAUAAUAAGAUAAGACCGUGGUCUUAUUUUGUUGGUUUCUAGGAUUACGGUAAUGAUUAAUAGGGAUAGUUGGGGGCAUUCGUAUUCGACUGUCAGAGGUGAAAUUCUUGGAUUUGUUGAAGACGAACAACUGCGAAAGCAUUUGCCAAGGAUGUUUUCA